GCUAGGUGUGGUGGUGGUGCACACCUGUAGUCCCAGCUACUUGGGAGGCUGAGGCAGGAGGAUUGCUUGAGCCCAGGCAUUUGAGGCUGCAGUGAGCCAUGAUCGUGCCACCGCACUCCAGCCUGGGUGACAGAGCAAGACCUUGUCUCAA
Unclassified non-coding RNA from Papio anubis (olive baboon), 151 nucleotides. It matches the Rfam family "Metazoan signal recognition particle RNA". From Rfam's summary of the family: The signal recognition particle (SRP) is a universally conserved ribonucleoprotein. Lineage: Eukaryota; Metazoa; Chordata; Mammalia; Primates; Cercopithecidae. The record is from Ensembl.